This 1128-nucleotide long non-coding RNA is filed under the name Mus musculus (house mouse). RNAcentral's name for it is "RIKEN cDNA 0610005C13 gene". The record is from RNAcentral. Lineage: Eukaryota; Metazoa; Chordata; Mammalia; Rodentia; Muridae.
AGACGGGACAACGACCAGGGACAGCGAGCAGACAGGAGCCCUAAGGCUUAUUACUCUUUAGGAGUAUCAGUCAGCUGGUUGCUGCCGCUGCUACAACCGACCCAGCCACAGCUGGAAUACCCUCAACCUGGGCAGUGACUACUGUGCUCUACACAGUCAGCGGCUGAAGGGCAGUCUCGUGCCAGCCAUUGAAAAUGCUCAAGGCACACAUCCCUGCUGACCUUCCCCAAGACCAUGGAGAGGCAGCUGAGUCCUUAGUUUGAGGAAGACAGGAUAACAGCCUGUUCCCGCUGCUAGAGGCCAGUGAGAUGGAGAGGCUUGCAGAGGUCACUGAUCAAUGGACUCUCAAGCUCAGCAGUGGUGGCCCAGGACUUUAAUUCUAGGACUCAGAAGGCAGAGGCGGGCAGAGUUCGAGGCCAACCUGGUGGUCUACAGAGCAACGGGACAGCUGGGAGUAUGCAGUGAAACCCUACCUCGAAAAGACAAACAAACAAACGAAAUAUCAUAGAUUCUCCAUCUAUGACACCGCUUGACACCAUCGGGCGGAACGCACAACAGUAAACGCCCCCGCCGCGACCAAUCAGCGAUUGCCGCACACCUCUGCCUUGGCCAAUCCACAGCGAUUUUGCAGUUCCACCCCUUACCUAGGGUGUGCGGAAGCUGGGGCGCCCCGUGCCCAACCUGGGGAGUGUCCAGAGCCUGUUCCUCCCCCAGCACACCCCCGCGGUGUCCUUCAGCUCCAAACUAAGGAAAACAAAUGCCAGCCUCCUCCCUCUGACCCACAUGUCUCAACUCUAUGCCGCCUUACAGCGGCAGCCACUGUCACUAUUGCACUGGCAAAGAGAGCAAAACUCUUCUCCCCUAAGGGCCAAGAAUAAAGCAGGCUCUUUUGCGCCUCCUUCAUUAUCUUCCAGUUGACCCUUUAAUUCUUCCCAGUGAGCAUUUUAAUUAGCACAGAGGUGAAGCGGAAGUGUGCUCCCUGGAGACAGGAGUUGGUGCCUGCUGCGAGGCCUCUGGGAGAUAGAGUUCUUUGGAGUCAAGAAUGCACGUGGACUAUCUGGGGAGGAAGCAAUGCUAGUGUGGAUAGACUCGUGUGAAGAACAGGAAAUAAAUGUCUUCUUUCUGGAU